RNAcentral lists this long non-coding RNA (9007 nucleotides) under Nicotiana tabacum (common tobacco). RNAcentral's name for it is "long non-coding RNA (NTAB_LNC008471)". Lineage: Eukaryota; Viridiplantae; Streptophyta; Magnoliopsida; Solanales; Solanaceae. The record is from RNAcentral.
GCCUUCAAAAAGAUUAGAACAUUUCUGUUGCUUCAUUGACAAGUGAACCUCCCUUUCCAUUUCCACUCUCUCCACUAAACCAAAACUCUCUCUUUCUCUCUCUCUUUCUAGAGCAAUAUUUUUUCUACUUCUGUUUUGAUCAUUCAUACAAAGAAGGGGUGGGGCAAAAUGGGAGUAAAGUUUGUUCUUUUCAAGAUUCUUGUGCUCAUCAUCAUAGUGAUAAUGGCUAUGGGAAAUGAGGGUAUUUUGGUAACUGCAACAACUGUUGGGACAUGGGCAGGUUCAAAGUAUGAGAUUGCAUGUACAAUGUGUGCAGCUUGUGACAACCCCUGUGCCACCCCAUCUCCGCCACCUCCUCCGCCGCCAUCAUCCUCUAACAAUUGUCCUCCGCCACCCUCUCCUCCUAGCUCCGGUGGUGGAAAUUACUAUUAUUCACCACCACCACCACCCUCCUCCUCCUCUAGUGGUGGUGGCGGCGGCAAUUCCUUUUACUCACCACCUCCACCUGGUGGUGUAAUUGGUGGUUACUACCCUCCACCCUACCAAAAUUACCCUUCUGGCCCUGUUCCUCCACCUCCUAAUCCUAUUGUUCCCUAUUUCCCCUUCUACUUCUAUAAUCCUCCACCACCUUCACAAUCUGCUGCUUUUAAGCUCACUCAUUAUUAUUCUUCUUUUAUCACCACUAUGUUCAUUCUCUUCUACAUUUUCCUUUGAGAAUUUUCCAAGGAAAAAUGUAAAAAUAAAGUGUCGGAAUCGCAGAUCUACAAACUUGCAGAGGUGAGAGCAAGAUGGAUUAAUCCUUUUCCUGAAGAUUAUUCAAUUCUCUUCAGAGAAAGAAAGGAGAAAAAUGGAAGGGUGAAUUGAAUAGCUGAAGUGAAGUUCUCUUCUUGCUCUCAUCCUGUGGAGAAUCUGUAAAUUCUUGACCAUUGCUUCGCAAUUUUUAGCUUCUUUUUUUGUUAACUUAAUUCAUAUUAAUGUUUCUAAUUCGUAUAGAAUGUAAGAAAAUUACUUUAGUCAAUUUUGCAAGAAUUACAAAGUCAACUUCUAACUAAUAGUCUAAUUGCUGUUGUGCUUCUAGGCAUUGCAACUCAGUUGCUUUUUCCACAUGAUCAUCUUACACAUGUUAAUCUUUUGCAUUAUUUAGCUCAUACACUAUAUAGAAUUGAUUUUUGUUUUUAUUUUUGAGUGGUACAACUGUACAAUAACAACAUGUUCAAAAGAACUGGUAUUUAAUAAGAACUUGAAAUGCCUUAGACAAAUUGGCAACGCAUGUUCAUAUAAUCAUUUGAUUUUCACAUAAUUAACACCAAAGAGAAGAAAAAAAGGGUUUCCGUUGCCAUAAAGGUAAUGAACCACCAAACUGGCAACGGUUUUAAUUGACAGUUGAAAUAAAGAAAAGGAUCAAAAUAUUAAAAGUAAGUGGGUGGACGAUGCUUGGUUGAAGAUGAGAAAUAGAGCAUUUGAAAUUGAAGUUGCAAUAAAUUAAUUUGAAAGUUAAAGUUCUGAUUGAACAUGAUUUUUUUUUCUUGCUUCAAAAGAUAAUAUUAUUGCUACUAAUUAUACUUCAUGUUUCAUUCUCUGUCUUGUACAUAAUAUUCAAAACUAAACAGGAUAGGAUUAAAAAAAGGACGAAGCAUUCUCUACUGGUUCGAGCUUUUUUUGGCUAGAAAAUCCGCUACAGAUUCCUUUUUUCUGUAGAUGUGAAGGAGACUUGAACUAGUCAAUCUGCUGGAAGAGUUAAAAUUUCAGUUAACAAUUUAAGUAUUUCUCUUAAAUAUGGGUUGAUGGUCAAAUCACUAAUUUACUAAAAUAUAAUUUAUUAUCAAAGGGUACAUAAAUGUAUUAUUAAUAAAUACUUCUUUCAUUUCAUUGCGUUGUAGUUUGCAGCUUUUCCAUAUAGGAAAAUAUGAAACUUUUAAUGAUAGGGCAUAAAUCUUUCCACAUGGCCACGAUGGAUUUGCAAAGAAAAGGAAGAUUCUUGAAAAGUACGACAUGUUUUUACACGUUGCUAUAUGCUAUUUGUCCAUACCAAGAUCCCCUUUAAAAAUAAAUUAAGUAUAUGUAAACGAAUACUGUUAUAUACUUGUGGAAGAUUGUCAGAGCAAGAAGAGAUUGAUUUAUUUCAUUUCAGAGGGAGCAUGCUCCAGUUAUGAGGUUCAAAUUGUCUAGUUUCUUGUUGAGUUUAGAAACUAAUCUUUUCAAUUUUUUGAAGAACCACACAACUGGAGUGCUUUUAGACACCCUCUUUAAGAAAAUAUUAUUUAAGAAAUUCGAAAAUAGUUAAUUCAAAUAAGUAUAGUAUCAUAUACUGAUAUAAUGCGAUAAACACUAUACAUAUUUUUUGUCAGUUUUAAGCGGGCAGUUAUUAGUGUGCUAAGAGAAAAGAAAUACGUCUUAUAUUAUUAGUGUAAAGUGAUGAAACAAACAAGGAAAUAAGUAAAUAAAUAAUAAAGCAUAGUUGAUAAGAAGUUUCAUCUUCUUAUCUUGAAUGAGGCAAGAUGAGCUGCCAACCUUCAAACAGUAAGCACAAGUGUGGGCUAAAAUGUCAUCAGAAGUUGGUAUUUCCUUCGUUAUCAUAUCGAACUACUUGCGCGAUGGGAAGGUUGGGUACCUUUUGUUUCACUUUGCACAUUUACAACGGGAUUUUAAUGCUUCCAAACAAUAUACAUAAGUUGUUUCUCAUCCAAUAUAAACAAGAAAAUUUAACUUAUACAUAUUAAUUACCAUGUAAAGUUUUUGUUAUAUUGUCAUUAUAUUUCGACUAGAUAAUUACUUUAUUUUCAAGUUAUAAUAUCAGGCAUUCUAUGAGUAAUGAUCUGUUAUCUAAUUGUAAAUAACUUACCCUCAUGAAAAUACUUAUACGUUAAAAAUACAUAAAAAUUAAACUCUAAAAUAAAUUAAGGCAUUAGUAACAAGCAUAGGCGAUGGCUGAAUUCGUCCCUAGCAAAUAUGAGGCAAUAAAAGAUGUCAUGAAACUUGCAAUAUUUUUACUACAAUAUAUAGAAUCACUGCCACUGGGACAGGAAAAUCGCUUAAACUUGAAGAUUGAACGUGAGUUCCUAUAUUGAUUUCUUUUAUUAAUUCAGUUAAAAUUUGUUAUUCAACCAAUAAUCUUUAACUAGUCCACCGAAUUAAAAUAGUAGGUGAAAUAGUUAUAAAUGUGCUCGACUAUGUGGGAAAGAAAAGAAGGGUGGGGGUGAAUAAUUGAGCAACAAGGACGAAAUAAAUAAAGGGAAGUUGGCUGAUGAGCUGUAUGGCAUUUUUAUUUGGGGUCCCAAACACACUACUUUGGACUAUUAAAUUGGACAAAACAGCUUCGCAAGUAUGCCCUAUGGGUUCCACAUUUCCAAAAAGCCAAUCCUAACAAAAUUUCGGUGGUCAAUUUUCUCUUUUUUAAUCCUUUAAUUUUUCACUACAUCCGUUUACUUUUACUUAUCAACUUUCGCACUUCAAAUCAUUUUUCAAAUCCAUUAAGAUUUAUACACCAAUUAAUAUGCGUAUCAUGAUAAAUUAUGCACUUUAUUUAUUAUUUCUUAAGGGAUGUGCAAAGUUAAUGGUGAACAAGUAAAAGUACACUGUGAGAGUAAUUAAUUAGAUUUCACCAUUAGUAACGUUCUAAUUUCACCAAAUCUUCUCUCUUUAUCUACUAUUAUUCACGAAUUCAUUCUAAUACCAACCAAAAAAAAAAUUACUACUCCGUCAAUUCCAAGUAAUCUAGAAUUCAAAAAAGAAAAGAAAGUUAAUGAUCAUAUCAUCGUACUAUAUUAUAAGCAUGAAGAUCAAAAGUUGAAUGUGAAAGAAUAAAAUAACCCUACACUAUUAUUCGACUUUUAUGCCCUUAAAAGUUAUUUUAAUAAUACCUUAAAUAUUAAUAAUAAAAGUUAGUUUUGUAACAUUAAAUAUGACUUGGGAAUUAUCAAAGAAUUUAGUAAGGUCCAUGUAUCUAAAUUCUUCACUUUACAAAGUUAAGCUCUUUAACUUCAGCGCAUAAUAAGUUUUUUGAGCUAACAUUUACGGUUCUUAAAUAAUCAAAUUAUUUUUUUUGAGCUAACAUUUUAUAUUCUCCUUUUAUUUUUCUUAGCUUAAAUAUUUAGAUUGUUAUUAGAAAUAAUUUCUAAGAGCAAUCUUUUUCUUAUAAAUACAACCAUGAUUCAAAGCGUUUUACCAUCCAUGUACAAGACGAUAUAAUUUUUUACUAAUUACAUGGGAUAGACACGCAACGCGCGUGCCCAAGGACUAGUAUGAAUAAAAGAGUGAAGUUAUCCUGAUAUCAAACGGUUUGUUUUGUAUCCGUGGUCAUACAACAAGCCGCGACACCAUAAAAUGAAAAAGAAAAAAUUAAAUUGUUCAUAAAUAUAUAAAAAAAAGUAUUCCCUUCGUUUUAAUUUAUGUGACAAAGCUUAAAUAAAUAUAGAAUUUAAAUUUAAAAAAAUGUUUUUGAACAUGCUAAAAAAAUAUCUCCACAUUAUUAGAUAUCUAUUUUAAUAAAAAAAAAAAACUUACCUUUAUUGCAGGAAAUAAAAUCCAAAGAAGGAAGUCAAGAAAGCAGAAUGAAGGAAUCAAGGAACAAAAGAUGGAAGGCUGAGAAUGGAGAAGAAAGCGAGAUUCAGCUGAAAAUCCAGAAGAAAGGAUUCAGGAAUCGAGAUUCUCCGAAAGAUCAAGAAGCAAGGAUUAAAGAAUCAAUCAUGUUCAUGAUUACGACCAUCAAGGAGAAUAAAUAUUCGAUCUUGUCUAUUUAUGAAAGUUAAGGGAAAAGAUAUCAAUCAGUCUGUGUGGAAGAAUUGCUAAUAAUAUUCAAUCACGACCUUCAAGGAAGCAACAGUCAUCACGCCACCUUGCAAGGCCAAAGUAUAGAAAGUGCCUCCCUUUUUCUUGGAAGGAGUCAAUUCAAGAUUCAUUCUAAGGAUCAAUUCCCUUGGGUUGCCGAUCUCCUAAGGAUCUGUAAUAUCAAAGAAGACUUGCUCUCAAUUCGUAUAAAUCCAGCUGAUUACGCCUAACUAUGCCUUAUAAAAAGGACUAAGCGGUCGUUGCAUAUAUAAUUCGGUUUACAAGUUCGGAAUCGAAUCCCACAGGGAAUUAACCUACUAAUCACAACUGCUAGUUUCGCAAGAAUUCAAGUAAUCAACUUCCAGAAAUAUUGAAUAAUGAGUUGAGUAUUUACUAACUAAAAGCAAGGUAAUUAGAAAGCAGUAAUUUAAUUACUAACAAAGCAAAUGUUGUAGACAAGAUUGGAAAGGUCUAGGGUUACGAUUUCCUCUCUCGUUGGAAUCCUACCCGUUACGUUUCCUAUAAACCUGCUUAGAUAUUCUCUACCGAUCGUGAGCAAUGUAGGUAUCGUAAUUCUCUUUCUAGUAAAUACAAUAAUUUACUAGACAUAUUCUUCCAAACUACGCUAGCUGGCACUAGUUUACCGCUCACUAAGAUCGCACCAAGGUUUCGUUAUUCCUAAUCUCACCUUUAAACCCUUCAUAUUGAUCCCUCAUAUAAGGUAUGAGUGAUGUUGUUCAACAACUACCUAAAUAUGUACCAUUUUUCAAGUAAUACACACUAAAUAGCCAUGGUCAAUUGAGGGCCCUUCAAUCAACCACAAUAUUCACGUAGUUGAACAAGUAGAGAAAAUCCAAGGCAAACUUAUAUUAAACGCAACAAAAAUUCAUCCUCCAAGAGAUUCCAUCAAACCCUAGAAUAAAGAGUUUUGCUGCUCGUAAUUAUUUUCACAACUACAAUAUAAGAAUUCAUCACCAAUAAUAGAAAAAGGAAGAAGAAAGAUAAAAACUCAUUUCCGAUUUUCUGCCUUGCUCUUUGCUUGUUCUUACCUUCAAAGAUAUUGUGUAACCCUUAAAAAGUUAUUCUUUGAUGUAUUUAUAUCACUUAGGGUUGAUGAGAGGCGGAACUUUUCAAUCCAACUUCGGAUGGGAGAAGUCGGAAUCCGUGUCUUCCUCCGCGCGUCGCGCGCUCAUGGAUGCAGAUUCAACUUUUGAAAUUCUUCCAUUUCGCGAAGCAAUCCGUGCCUUUGCUUCACUUCGUUGUUUUGUGCCUUCACUUUUCUUCUUUUUUUGCAUCCGUUUUCAUGCCACGCACGAGAAUAUACGAGCUCCCAAUCCUUCCACUUUUAUCCUUUUUGCAAUAAUUUGAUAUCUUUUGAUCCAUUAUCAUCCAAGCUCACUCAUACAAAUAAGAAAUACAUAAUGAUUAUAAUUUACUUCAAAGAUCAUGUAAUCUCCCGUAACUCACAUGACAAAUGAGAUGAAAAUACACUCAAAAUCAUACACUUUUGGCCAUUUUUCACCUCCUCACACUUAGACUUUUUCUCGUCCUCGAGCGAAUAAAAUUAAGCACACUGGCAAGAAAUAAAUUUUUAAACCUACUCAAGCCUCACGCCAAAGAUAUUGGUUUAUACCAACUCUUAGAACCUAGCAUAAGCACUACUCAUACUUUCCUCAAGCUUUACGUCAUGCCAAGACUAAUUAAAAUAAUUGUGUGACUCUCUCUAAUAUCCUAGCCUCAAAAUUUAACUCUGAUACAUCCCAAACUAAGACUCACUUCUUGUGCCAACUCAAAAACCAAAUUCAUACCAACAAAUCAAAAAGAGACAGUAGUCCACACACUCAAACAUAAGUUUAAGUAUAUUUUAAGGACUCUCCAAUCGAAAGAAUUCGCUCACUCUCGCAAAAAUAACUCAUAUGCCACCCAAGUUCGUACCAUAGGCUUACCCGUAGUGUAAGACUUGACUAAUUUAAGUUCGCAGAGACUUAGAUCAAGUAGAACUUCAUAGCUUGUAAUGUAGGCCAAGGGACCGAUAGGAUAUAUUUGGAAAAAAUAGUGAUUAUCCCUCCUAAGCAUUUUAAUACACACACUUCACUUUCAAGCACCUUCUUAUCACGACCAAGUCAACGUCAUGCCACGAACCCAUACACGAUUAUUGCCCUUCUUCUUUAAGCAUAUCGUCACGUAGAUGCUCACUUGCUUGGAUCAAUACAUGGGAGGUGUACUUCAAAAUCUAUUUUUUAAUACACCCCCCUUAAUUUGGUGUUUCUGGAUAGUAACUCAUUUAAACACAACACGCCUUCUCGGCCUUCAUAUGAUUCCACUCAAAAGCUACCUGGACUCUCUCUUUACUCUUAUAGUAACUUAAGUGCUUUCAGAAGUAAAGGGUGAAUAAGAUUUGAUUAAGAACAAAAGAAAUUUUAUCUUGUAAUGUGGGUGCCAAGGAAAAGGUCUACAGGCUCAAAAGGGUUGACUAUGAAUAGUAUUAGCACUGGUGGAUAAAAGUGGCUCAAUGGUCAAUCAAAGAAAUACCUAUAUCAUCUCCUAGCCCUACAAUACUUAAUCAUUUCGUUUCGACUCACACACGGAGCAAGUUCUAGACUAUCCAGGGAUGGCACGGAGUACAACUCAAAUUUCUCACCUCGCACAAUAUACAUGACCUACUUAAGAUGGCUCAAACUCGACUUUCAAGUUAAAGUUGCUAAGCACAGUCAUCAUAAAACUAAACCAUAUAGGAAGCACAUAAAAAGAGUCAAAAGAUGAGCCUAAGAGUCAGAGUAAAGUCACAUAUAUUUUCAAGGCACAUACAUACAAGAAUUAUGAGGAAAGUACAAAGCACAAAUGCUCCAGGUCUAAGCCCUGAUAUAAAAUAUGUCAUGAAGUACAAUACUCAAUCUCUUCCCAUUCCAAUAUCAGUUCAAAACAAACAAAUGAAAAGAAAAAAAAAUUGUAAUUUUUUCUAGAUUUUAAACCCUCAAGAAAUAUGUCUAGGCAAUCCAUCAUUGGGCAAAGUCUACAAAUGCUUUUACAAAGUUUGAAAAAGAAAGAACUACCUAAGACUACCCGGUUUAAGAAAAUGGCAUCCUCGAAAAAGAACCGUGGUUUAAAAAAAAUCAAGAAUUACGCCAAUAAAAAGCUAACUACAAUUAUACAAUUACAAUGGCCUUAAGUGUGAUCAUGACAAAAUGUAUCACUAGUAAUUAAACACAUGCCACAAAAAUCAAAUUUUGACACCCCCACCCCACACUUAAGAGAGUGCACUGUCCCCAGUUGCACAAUAUCACAUAAACAUACAAUAAAUGAUCAAUAGUAUAGUGGGUGUCAAAACCUCCAUCAUUAUAUCUCAGGCUGCAGGGAGGACCGAUAGAAAACCUCGGUCCGCAAUGCUGAUGGAUCCUCCAAUGCGAUACUAGAUGUGUUGACGAUGGCUAUUAUCUCACCCUCCCUAGUCGGAGCAGCAUCCCCAACAGCCACCUCUCGAACCUCCGUUGGCUCCUUAGUAGUAGUACCAUCAAAAACACUCAAAUCAGACAACUCUGCAUCUCCCGGCUCCUCAAAGUUUGUCUGGACUCCAAUAUGCCUCUAUAUCACCCUUCUCUGCUACAUUCUUGUUAGUUGGUGGUUUCUUUGGGGUGGCUUACCAGUACUACCGGCUCCCUGGCUUCUAUUUGGUAUUUUAAAGACUGCCAUAUCACCUGCAAAAGAUACAAAACACAUAUUAGUAUAAUGUGUAACAUUGAGUCAUAGCGGUAUACAUCGCACCCCACAUUUAGCCCUAAAGUGUAAGUGUGCAAUCAGGGUAUAAAUAUCCACUACAACUUAAUUACAUUGAAUUAAGGUUACUUAGCAUCAUUGAAAAUCAAAUGGGUAAGACGAUACAUACGUCGUGCACGAGUCGUGCCUAAGUUGGUUGCGGUUUGACAUUCGUUCUUAAACGAAUGCAAUUUGUGAAGACCCCCAAAUGGCUAUCCCAUAAUCAAGAGAUGUUCAUAUUACCAAAACAAUGAGUCUUGUUACUCAGACUUCACAAAGCCUAUCAAAAUUCUCAUUCGAGCAAUUUUUGAACACCUUAUAUGCAUAAUAUUUACCAUCAUAUUUCAAUGCAAUUAUAUGUGUUUUGCCCUCCAAAUUUGAGUGAGGUGGUGGAAAUUAUAGUUUCCCACCUCACUAUGCACAACAACCAACAAAAUCUAGACCAAACUAUGCUCCAAAAUAUAAAAUUCAAUUACUCUACCAAAAU